RNAcentral lists this ribosomal RNA (480 nucleotides) under uncultured bacterium. RNAcentral's name for it is "bacterial SSU rRNA". It matches the Rfam family "Bacterial small subunit ribosomal RNA", at positions 30 to 506 of the family's 1533-position model. The record is from RNAcentral.
UUGAACGCUGGCGGCAUGCCUUACACAUGCAAGUCGAACGGUAACAGCUCUUCGGAGGCUGACGAGUGGCGAACGGGUGAGUAAUACAUCGGAACGUGCCCGAUCGUGGGGGAUAACGGAGCGAAAGCUUUGCUAAUACCGCAUACGAUCUACGGAUGAAAGCAGGGGACCCUCGGGCCUUGCGCGAACGGAGCGGCCGAUGGCAGAUUAGGUAGUUGGUGGGAUAAAAGCUUACCAAGCCGACGAUCUGUAGCUGGUCUGAGAGGACGACCAGCCACACUGGGACUGAGACACGGCCCAGACUCCUACGGGAGGCAGCAGUGGGGAAUUUUGGACAAUGGGGGCAACCCUGAUCCAGCCAUUCCGCGUGAGUGAAGAAGGCCUUCGGGUUGUAAAGCUCUUUCAGCCGGAACGAAACGGUACGCUCUAACAUAGCGUGCUAAUGACGGUACCGGCAGAAGAAGCACCGGCUAACUACGU